UGACAUCUUCCUCACAAUCCUCUGAGCCAAUUUGCGUGGAGAGAACGGAGAUGAUCUGGCUAACUGUAGCACGUGCCGUUGACGGCAGAUGAAGGACAUUGGUGUAUAUAUGCUGCCGGCAGUUGAUGAGAGAGGGGGAGGCAACGGGGUAAAAAGAUGUAAUUUACAUUCGGAAAAGGGAUUCCAGCUAUAUAUGAAUUUUUUUUAUCUUUGUUUCAUGCGAUCUUCUAUGUGAACUGGAUAUAUGAGAAACCGUAAAUCAGAAUGUAAUUACUUUUUUGGUUCUUUAUUAUGUACAGUAUGUAUGCAGUGAGUGGCUCUUCCAUUCUAAUGGUGAAAACUAGUGAAAUGGUUUUCCAGUCAUAGUUACAUACUAGUACAAAAAUGCAUUCUUGCCCACGUAGAUGUGGUACAAAACAUUAACUUAUCAUUAUUUGAUUGGGUCAGAGGCGAUACACACUGAUAAUUUUGUUUGCUAUGGUUAAAUGCUUCUGUAGUUAAUGUAAUUACGUUUUUGUUCUUUACGGAGUAUGUAGUGCCUCUUUCGUUCUAAGGCCCUGUUGAGAAGCCUAUUUUUUGGUUCAAAAAUCAAGGUAAAAUACAGGCCAGUAAAAUGAUUCAUUUCAAUUAGAAUAUAAACUUGUAUGGAACAUCAGUGUCUGGCCGGUCUAAAACUGAUUGUUCACAGUUUACACGCGGGAGCAAAUAACCUGGGAAGUAGGAGUACACACGUGCGUGUUCACCAAAGCCUUUCGAAAUCUAGUUUUAAAGACAUGGAUGCAAGAAACAAAAUGGUUCUUCAGUUGGACUAAUUGGUUUGAAAGAUAAGUCAAUUGGCUAAACAAUCAUUUGGUUAUGCCAUUUUAGGUUUCAGCUUGACAUUUUGUUUUCUUAAAAGGAAAGUAAAAUAGAGACGAGCGUCUUUUUUUUUUCCCUCACAAGGCGGCUAGGGAAAAGCCUUCCUCCUCUCGAUAUCCACCGGCGAGCUUGUGGAUUCACCUUCCCUUUGUCUGCUGCUUCGUCGGCUGAUGACGGGGAGACAAUCUUGGUCCCUCGUGUCUGGCUAGUAGUUAGGUUAGGAUUUUAGUCCUUGCAAGGGCGGCGCUUCUUCUUCGAGUUAGCUUUUUGGGCUUGGUACUCCUGAAGUUCCUCCAUCAAGAUGGAUAAGACGAAGCUCCAUCGUAGAUUCUAGCCAGCUCCUUGGGGUGCGCGAGGUUAAGGUUUCUCGUUGUGCGUGCAUGACAGCAUGAUUUGGUGUCAGGUUCUUCAUUAUUUAAGGGUUCAAUGUCGCCGACUGCAGCUCCAAGGUGCUGGUCCUUAUGGGCACGUACAUGAAGACUUUCCGACUGUCAUCAACAAUGUCAGACCGACUCAUGUAUGGAACAACGACAACAACAGUGGUCAUUCAGUGGUGUAAGAACCCCGAUAUGAAUUCUAUUAUAUUUAAGAUGCUUUAUACUUCCGCUGAACUUUUAUAAUACAUUUGACUCAUUUUUGCAACAAAAAAAAAA
Molecule: long non-coding RNA, 1511 nt
Filed under: Triticum aestivum (bread wheat)
Lineage: Eukaryota; Viridiplantae; Streptophyta; Magnoliopsida; Poales; Poaceae
Description: long non-coding RNA (TAES_LNC011375)
Source: RNAcentral